This 1515-nucleotide ribosomal RNA is filed under the name uncultured bacterium. Its description in RNAcentral is "bacterial SSU rRNA". It matches the Rfam family "Bacterial small subunit ribosomal RNA". The record is from RNAcentral.
GAAUUCGCCCUUAGAGUUUGAUCAUGGCUCAGGAUGAACGCUAGCGACAGGCUUAACACAUGCAAGUCGAGGGGCAGCGGGGAAGUGCUUGCRCUUCCGCCGGCGACCGGCGCACGGGUGAGUAACACGUAUGGAACCUGCCCGCAGCAGGGGGAUAAUCGGAAGAAAUUCCGUCUAAUACCGCGUAACAACCSRWUGGGGCAUCCCRUUSGGUUUAAAGGAUUACCGGCUGCGGAUGGCCAUGCGGCGCAUUAGCUAGUUGGCGGGGCAACGGCCCACCAAGGCGACGAUGCGUAGGGGUUCUGAGAGGAAGGUCCCCCACACUGGUACUGAGACACGGACCAGACUCCUACGGGAGGCAGCAGUGAGGAAUAUUGGUCAAUGGCCGAAGGGCUGAACCAGCCAAGUCGCGUGAGGGAAGACGGCCCUACGGGUUGUAAACCUCUUUUGCCGGGGAGCAAAGGCGGUCACUGGUGACCGGAUGAGAGUACCCGGAGAAAAAGCAUCGGCUAACUCCGUGCCAGCAGCCGCGGUAAUACGGAGGAUGCGAGCGUUAUCCGGAUUUAUUGGGUUUAAAGGGUGCGCAGGCGGGACGCCAAGUCAGCGGUCAAAUUUCGGGGCUCAACCCCGACCUGCCGUUGAAACUGGURUCCUYGAGUGGGCGAGAAGUAUGCGGAAUGCGUGGUGUAGCGGUGAAAUGCAUAGAUAUCACGCAGAACUCCGAUUGCGAAGGCAGCAUACCGGCGCCCCACUGACGCUCAUGCACGAAAGCGUGGGUAUCGAACAGGAUUAGAUACCCUGGUAGUCCACGCAGUAAACGAUGAAUACUAACYGUCCGGGWCGAUUGAGWCCUGGGUGGUACAGCGAAAGCGUUAAGUAUUCCACCUGGGGAGUACGCCGGCARCGGUGAAACUCAAAGGAAUUGACGGGGGCCCGCACAAGCGGAGGAACAUGUGGUUUAAUUCGAUGAUACGCGAGGAACCUUACCCGGGCUCAAACGACGGAUGAAUGUUUUUGAAAGGAGGCAGCCCUUCGGGGCAUCCGUCGAGGUGCUGCAUGGUUGUCGUCAGCUCGUGCCGUGAGGUGUCGGCUUAAGUGCCAUAACGAGCGCAACCCCCAUCGCCAGUUACCAUCAAGURAAGUUGGGGACUCUGGCGAGACUGCCGGCGCAAGCUGCGAGGAAGGCGGGGAUGACGUCAAAUCAGCACGGCCCUUACGUCCGGGGCGACACACGUGUUACAAUGGCAGGCACAGAGAGAAGCGACAUGGCGACAUGAAGCGGAACUGGYAAAACCUGUCUCAGUUCGGAUUGGAGUCUGCAACCCGACUCCAUGAAGCUGGAUUCGCUAGUAAUCGCGCAUCAGCCACGGCGCGGUGAAUACGUUCCCGGGCCUUGUACACACCGCCCGUCAAGCCAUGGAAGCCGGGAGUGCCUGAAGUGUGCAACCGCAAGGAGCGCCCUAAGGUAAAACCGGUGACUGGGGCUAAGUCGUAACAAGGUARCCGUAAAGGGCG